Molecule: long non-coding RNA, 958 nt
Organism: Bos taurus (domestic cattle)
Lineage: Eukaryota; Metazoa; Chordata; Mammalia; Artiodactyla; Bovidae
Source: Ensembl
GAGUAGACUCCGGGAGUUGGUGAUGGACAGGGAGGCCUGGCGUGCUGCAGUCCAUGGGGUCACAAAGAGCUGGACAUGGCUGAGUGGCUGAACUGAACUGAACUGAAGGAGUAAUGUAUACAGAAAUAGAAAUAGAAUGUAUACAUGAAUCUUAUAUACUGUUAUAAACCAAUGUUACCUCAAUAAUAAAUUAAAAUGAAAAAAAGAAGCAGGUGGACUAGAAGGACAUCAGUUCAGUUACUGGAGGUUUAUUUCAUACCAGGCAUGAUUGUAAGCAGUUCUAGGUGCUAACGGAUUUAGUCCUUGUAACAAUCUGAAGAGGAGGCAAUAUUGUUGGGAGACAUGGCUCCCUGGGAAGAUAGGGAUUGUUUCUUCCCCAGAGCAGAGGCAGGUUUGUUUACUUUAUUUUUCUAUUAUAAUAAAGGAUAAUGUCCCCUGCCAGACCAAAGUUUUGGCAGAUUUGCUCACAGCCAUUUCAAGAGUUAGGAUUCUUCAGCUCAGGGUUUUCAGCUGUGAUGCAAAUGCCCCACGUGUGCAGCAUCUACCUGGCUUUGCAUCGCCUCACCCUGGGGAUCUUGCAGGAUAAGGGGAACCAAUUCAAACAUGAAGUUCAUGUCAUCUGCUGUGCUGGGAAUGAUAGCACCCUUUUCCUCUGACCUGAGAGUCUUGUGUCUUCUGCCAGCAUCCAUGGAAGAGAGGCAAGCUGGCUGAUGUGCAGCAUGUGGGAUCUUAGUUCCCCAACCAGGGAUCAAACCUGUGCCCGUUGCCUUCCAAGCACAGAGUCUUAACCACUGGACCACCAGGGAAGUCCCUGUUUUACCUUCUGAUCAAACAUCUUCUAUGAGGAAGCCCUGGAGAUACAAAGUGAGACCUCUGGACUGAAGCACCAAGUGCACGGACUAAAGAUCAGGGAAGCAGAGUCCAGGAUCAAGGAGUCCACUGAGGAGCAGGACAGGAG